ACCAAAAUAAUUCAAGAAAGCUUAUAUUACAAUAGAGUGAAAAAUAAAAAUAAAGCCACAGCUAGCAGCUCAGUCCACAAUAGAAAAGGAUUCUACCCAACAAUGCAUAAUCUGUUAAACAAGAUCCAAAACAACAAGUUGAGAAGCUUAGUUGGCUUCCAUAACAAUGCAUCGACGCUUUCCUAACUGCAUAGAGAGAAAACGAGAGAGGCGGCUAAGGAAAAAAACACCAGAUCUGAAGUUCUCCCGUAAAAUAAGGAUUAGUGCCAGCAAAGCUAAAAGCCACCGAGUAAAAACUAGAGACACAAAGCAGAGUAUGAGGACAGGCGGAUUUGAGUCAAGAUGGCAUACAUAACUUUUUGAUAUUUAUGGUCUUUAGACUGAGUGGCUAACGAGUCCACCGAUAACAUUUUCAAGAAACAUACGGCAUGGAAAAGAGAACCCAUUUUCCCUACAAAAUU
RNAcentral lists this long non-coding RNA (461 nucleotides) under Manihot esculenta (cassava). RNAcentral's name for it is "long non-coding RNA (MESC_LNC002256)". Lineage: Eukaryota; Viridiplantae; Streptophyta; Magnoliopsida; Malpighiales; Euphorbiaceae. The record is from RNAcentral.